Molecule: long non-coding RNA, 3313 nt
Organism: Brassica napus (rape)
Lineage: Eukaryota; Viridiplantae; Streptophyta; Magnoliopsida; Brassicales; Brassicaceae
Exons: 2
Source: RefSeq, a predicted model, not a curated record
AGAAAGAAUUUAUUUUUAGUCCUUAGGUAUGCACGAUCGAUGAAAAACAUACUAUUGUAAUUCCUUCCAUUCUUUAAAAACGAUUUCUUACAUUAAUUAGUGGCCAACUAACAAUUCACAUUUUGAUUUAUAUAGACAGAAAAGCCUUCUCUCUCACAGUCUGACAUUAUCUUUUUGCCACUUCUGGUGUAUAUAUACACAUUAAGUUCUCCUCACAUAAUCACCAUCUAUAUCACUGACUUUUUAAAACUUCUCUCAAAAGAUAAACUUACAAUCCUGAGUUUAUUAAAAUAAAAGUUAGUCGAUCAUCAUAACAUGGCGGCUUCUAGUAUGCAUUUUCUCUUCAUUUUUGCAUGUUUUGUUUGUUUGUUUCUUGUUCUGCUGUUAUAUCUAUUACAAAAGAAUGAUAUCAAGUUGUGAAGUUUAUCAUUUUGUUUCGCAUAAUUCUCUCCCUUCAAUUUUCUUCUGUUUCACGUCACCUUAGAAUGGAAUAAGUACACAUGCAGACUAUAUAAGUUAUUCUGAUAAAACACAUGGCAUCUGGUUUGGUUUUUCUUCUAUACGCACUCUGUAUAUGUUAUUUAGGCCAUGAGGUCUACGAUUCUCUUGUUAUAUAACAUUGUAAAGUCUACAUUAGAUGACCAUAAACAAAUCUUCUCAAUUUUCUUUGGCGGCUCUAUACCUUGUAUCAUACGUUUAUCUCGAAAUGUUACUGUGAAUGUUGCUUUUUGUCAUUUUUAUUAAAAUGUGGAAUAUAUAUUACUCUAAAACAUUUUGUUUGGUAUUAACAUUUCUGUUGCUAAAAUCUUCGCAGGUAGUAGUAGUAAUUCAAUUGGAACUGAAGAUGGAUAUGUUUUGGAGCCGCAAGGAGAGCAUAGAGUCACUAUAGUUUGGCUGCAUGAUGUGCAUGAAAAUAGCUAUAAGUAACACUAUAUAUCACGUUCCUUGUCUCAUAUCGUUGCAUAUAUUCCUUUGUCUUUAAGGAUCAAAGAAAUUUCUUCUAAUCUAAUUUAUCUGUUUUAUGUAUUAACCAUUCAAACUCCACUUUGUCUAUCUUAACUUAUUUGUACUUUUUUUUUGUGAAGAAACAUAUAUAUUUGUACUCAAAUUGUGCUUUUUCAUUGUGUAUCUGUUCUGUUUUCAGAUCACUUCAGAUUGUAAGAAGUCUAAAUCUUCGAAAUGUAAGUAUCAGUGAACAUAGAAUGCUAAUAAUAAACCAAUUAAAGCAUGGUUGUUUUAAUAACAUUGUACAAAAAAUAUUUUAUGCAUAGAUCAAAUGGAUUUGUCUGGAUUCUGGUACACGUGUUGAUGUAUUUUCACCUGGAGGUGGAGUGCCCACAAAUUCCUGUAAGAUCACUUGUGUUAUAUUUAUCUUUCCUUGCUCUAAAACUUCAAAAAAUACAUUUUUCAUUUUUUAUACAAAAAACCCCAAUAUUUGUGAGGUUAAACAAUUUAAAUAGUUGGCAAGACCCUCUUUGUUGAAUCAGGGUGCAACGUGGGUAUGAUUACCGAUACUACGCGCAAGAUUGUCGGGAUGAGUUAGAUUCUGCCGCUGUACGUGUUGCUAACAUUUUAUCGACAGAACCAGAAAAUGUCAUAAAAGGAGUAGGAGGUGUCGGCCAAGGUGCACAAGUAGCUCUGAACUUUGCAAAGUGGAACGCCGUUGGAGAUCAUACGAUGAAUAUGCGACUUGUAAUAGGGAUAAACUCUUGGUGUGUAUAUACUCUUCUAGUACUCAUGUUAAUAUUUAAUUAGUUAUUAUAACUAAAGUUAGAUAUAACAUGUUGACUUCACCCAGGAGAAUACCUACCAACAGGAUAGAUUAUGAUUUUGGGGCUGCAAUUCGUUCUUCAUGGCAGUCAAUCCUACUUAUACGUGGAAAUCGUAUGUGUAUAAUGUUAAUUUAUAUAUUUGUUUUUCGCAAUAGAUAGACAAGGAUCAUGAGAUAUAUAUAAUAAUAAUAAUAACUCUUUGUGAUUGUUUUGUGUUGCAGUCGAACCGAGUAUUCCUUUAUACUUUGCAAAAGAAACUGCUGUCUCCCUUAUAGAUGAUGGAUUUGGAGAAGUUUCGUUUGUACAAUUCCGAAUGUAUAAACAUACAUUAACGAUUUUACUUUGCUUUGUUCUACCAUUUUUGUUUGAACACUUUGUGUAAUUAGGUUAUGUCAUUGUGCAGGCUUGGUCGUGAAAUCACUGUGAACGUACUGAAAAAGGUCGAAGUCUGGUUGAACGGGAAGCUUCCACUCGAUCCAAACUAAUAUCAUCCAUGAACUGUUAUCUAUUUUUUUCAGUAUUUUCGUUGCGCUAUUUAGUGAACUAAUGUCGUUGAUAUUUUCAACAUUACUAAUAAAACUGCAUGAAACAGACUCUACAACUUAUGAUAUUUCCAUGAGAUUGUGUUCCUAUUAAUUUUUUUUUGACAAAAUGUGAAUUCAUUUCAAUAAGAAAUGGCAAAGAGGUACAAGCAAGCAUGAACCUAAAGCUGCAAUUAAGCAAAGUUCUAUCAAAGAGACCCCAAAAAAAGAUAAAAAAGCCCCUUCGAUACAAAAUAGGUUUAGUCUAAAUCAUAAGAAACAAACUAAAGCUAAACUAGGAGAUCAUAAGAUUAACUAUUGGCCAUAGGUAGACCAAGAAGCAACUAAUUCACUGUAAACUGCAAAUGAGAAGACUGGUCUUGGGUAUGGAUGGAAACGGAGCAAUCCCGGGGAUACUUUGACGGCAACAGGCGGAGGCGGAUUGACGAGCCGGCCCCGGCUAUUACACUAACAAUGAGACCAGAUCCAGCCAAACCAGAGACUUUGCGAAGGAGAAGCUGUGAGUCCAAACUAACAGAUGAAAGACACUCGAUGAAGAACAAGGGCUCUUGAGGAGGUAGGCGGAGGUUUAUCUCCCGACUCCGGCCACUUCCUCGGAGGAGAUAAUGCAUUUCAACCGUCAAAGAGGCAGCAACACCCACCCAAAGCUUCAUUCCCAGGCUUGAAGAACGGGAGCAGAAGCUCCAAACAAACACGGCAAGCGACUGAGGAUGCUGUAGAGUAACCGCAACGAAGGGUCUGAAACAGGGCCAGUCCCCGAAGCCCCAAAGAACCAACAAGCAGCAACAAGAAACAACACAUCCACGGAUAACCACCGUGAUAAGCUAACCCCACAAUCUUAAACAGAGGUUCUCAGUGGUUUCCUCCACACCACUUUCUCACAGAGAAGAGAAGCUCUGAACUUACCCGUGAGAUAAACCGACGGAGAUGAAGGAGCACGAAGCUAAUCGAAGACAUGAAGGAGGCAGCGACGCACCAGACUGCCAUCGACGCCUCAGA